GGAGUGGUCCUGCUUUUUAGCAGGGGGUUGGACUAGAUGACCUCGUGAGGUCCCUUCCAGCCCUAUUAUUCUAUGACUGCUCAGCUCUGUGACUCAGUCGCACCAGAUGACACGGCGGGGAUGGGACACCCUUGGCUCAGCAGAGCCCACCUGGACAUCCCUGGGCUCCUGUCCGCGAGGCACAUGGCCAAAAGGGAAGACUUUGCUGCAGUUCCCUACGGGUCUGAAGAGGGCGGCAAAGUCCAUAUUAACCCUUUACGCCCUGUAUGCCGUCUCGUUCGUGAUGUGGACCAUCUUACUCGCCGUGGUGAUUGCGAAGUACUCGGAGAUUUCCAAGGAGCUGGAGCAGAUGCGGAGGGAUCAAUCGGUGCUCAGAGCCCACGGCUCCGAGAUGGCGAAGCAACUGGAGAUGCUGUAUUUCAACCAAUCCACCCUCCACAGCACCGAGGUGGAGCUGGCCACCGAGCUGAAGCGGCUGGAGUCGGAUCAGGAGACGCUGAGAGGGGAAGUGUCCAGGGAUCUGGCCAAAGCGAAGCAGGACAGGGAUGACAUCAGGGCCGAGACCUACAAGAUCCUCUC
Molecule: long non-coding RNA, 579 nt
Filed under: Pelusios castaneus (West African mud turtle)
Lineage: Eukaryota; Metazoa; Chordata; Testudines; Pelomedusidae
Description: lncRNA (ENSPCEG00000004496.1)
Source: RNAcentral